AACGUGCCCAGUCGUGGGGGAUAACGCAGCGAAAGCUGUGCUAAUACCGCAUACGAUCUCUGGAUGAAAGCGGGGGACUCGCAAGGGCCUCGCGCGAUUGGAGCGGCCGAUAUCAGAUUAGCUAGUUGGUGGGGUAAAAGCCCACCAAGGCGACGAUCUGUAGCUGGUCUGAGAGGACGACCAGCCACACUGGAACUGAGACACGGUCCAGACUCCUACGGGAGGCAGCAGUGGGGAAUUUUGGACAAUGGGCGAAAGCCUGAUCCAGCAAUGCCGCGUGCAG
RNAcentral lists this ribosomal RNA (283 nucleotides) under uncultured bacterium. Its description in RNAcentral is "partial 16S ribosomal RNA". It matches the Rfam family "Bacterial small subunit ribosomal RNA", at positions 123 to 406 of the family's 1533-position model. The record is from RNAcentral.